This 867-nucleotide ribosomal RNA is filed under the name uncultured bacterium. RNAcentral's name for it is "bacterial SSU rRNA". It matches the Rfam family "Bacterial small subunit ribosomal RNA", at positions 81 to 986 of the family's 1533-position model. The record is from RNAcentral.
UAUGGUAUAACUUAGUGGCAGACGGGUGAGUAAUGUAUAGGAAUCUACCUAGUAGUACGGAAUAAUUGUUGGGAACGGCAACUAAUACCGUAUACGCCCUACGGGGGAAAAAUUUAUUGCUAUUAGAUGAGCCUAUAUUAGAUUAGCUAGUUGGUGGAGUAAUAGCCUACCAAGGCAAUGAUCUAUAGCUGAUCUGAGAGGAUGAUCAGCCAUACUGGAACUGAGAUACGGUCCAGACUCCUACGGGAGGCAGCAGUGGGGAAUAUUGGACAAUGGGCGAAAGCCUGAUCCAGCCAUGCCGCAUGAGUGAAGAAGGCCUUUGGGUUGUAAAGCUCUUUUAGUGAGGAAGAUAAUGACGGUACUCACAGAAGAAGUCCUGGCUAACUCCGUGCCAGCAGCCGCGGUAAUACGGAGAGGGCUAGCGUUAUUCGGAAUUAUUGGGCGUAAAGGGCGCGUAGGCUGGUUAGUAAGUUAAAAGUGAAAUCCCGAGGCUUAACCUUGGAAUUGCUUUUAAAACUGCUAACCUAGAGAUUGAAAGAGGAUAGAGGAAUUCCUAGUGUAGAGGUGAAAUUCGUAAAUAUUAGGAGGAACACCAGUGGCGAAGGCGUCUAUCUGGUUCAAAUCUGACGCUGAGGCGCGAAGGCGUGGGGAGCAAACAGGAUUAGAUACCCUGGUAGUCCACGCUGUAAACGAUGAAUGUUAAAUAUGGGGAGUUUACUUUCUGUAUUACAGCUAACGCGUUAAACAUUCCGCCUGGGGACUACGGUCGCAAGAUUAAAACUCAAAGGAAUUGACGGGGACCCGCACAAGCGGUGGAGCAUGUGGUUUAAUUCGAUGCAACGCGAAAAACCUUACCACUCCUUGACA